RNAcentral lists this ribosomal RNA (459 nucleotides) under uncultured bacterium. RNAcentral's name for it is "bacterial SSU rRNA". It matches the Rfam family "Bacterial small subunit ribosomal RNA", at positions 29 to 523 of the family's 1533-position model. The record is from RNAcentral.
AACGAACGCUGGCGGCAUGCCUAACACAUGCAAGUCGAACGGGAUCCUGGCUUCGGCCAGGUGAGAGUGGCGGACGGGUGAGUAACGCGUGGGAACCUGCCCAUUGGUCUGGGAUAACUGCGGGAAACUGCAGCUAAUACCGGAUGUACCCGAGAGGGGAAAGAUUUAUCGCCGAUGGAGGGGCCCGCGUCAGAUUAGGUAGUUGGUGAGGUAACGGCUCACCAAGCCUACGAUCUGUAGCUGGUCUGAGAGGAUGAUCAGCCACACUGGGACUGAGAUACGGCCCAGACUCCUACGGGAGGCAGCAGUGGGGAAUAUUGGACAAUGGGCGCAAGCCUGAUCCAGCCAUGCCGCGUGAGUGAUGAAGGCCUUAGGGUUGUAAAGCUCUUUUGCCGGGGACGAUAAUGACGGUACCCGGAGAAUAAGUCCCGGCUAACUUCGUGCCAGCAGCCGCGGUAA